This 344-nucleotide transfer-messenger RNA is filed under the name Bacillota bacterium. It matches the Rfam family "transfer-messenger RNA". From Rfam's summary of the family: Bacterial tmRNA, also known as 10Sa RNA or SsrA, is named for its dual tRNA and mRNA-like properties. Its role is to liberate the mRNA from a stalled ribosome. The record is from RNAcentral. Lineage: Bacteria; Bacillati; Bacillota.
GGGGUCGUAAUAGUUUCGACAAAAAUAAUAAAUCUUAAAGGGCAAGUCGUAAGAUAUACGAUACAUUCAAAAAAUAAAAUAACUGGAAACAGAACACAAUUAGCUUUCGCUUAAUAAUUUAGAAGGCUGCUUCAAUACAUUUUUACCUACGGAAUGUAUAUGAGGCUCGAUUAGUAGGUUAUAUUAUUAAUUUUGAUUUAUGAUUAAUGAUGAAUUUAAAUAAAUCUUACUAAAUAAAAUUUUGAUAGUUUAUUAUUAUUUAGGACAUUAACAAAUUAUCUAAACUUGUAGAACUUUAUUAUUUAUAUUUUUGGACAGGGGUGCGAUUCCCCUCGGCUCCACCA